GUCUCUGGGCUGUUACUGACGCUGAGGAGCGAAAGCAUGGGGAGCGAACAGGAUUAGAUACCCUGGUAGUCCAUGCCGUAAACGUUGGGCACUAGGUGUGGGGGACAUUCCACGUUUUCCGCGCCGUAGCUAACGCAUUAAGUGCCCCGCCUGGGGAGUACGGCCGCAAGGCUAAAACUCAAAGGAAUUGACGGGGGCCCGCACAAGCGGCGGAGCAUGCGGAUUAAUUCGAUGCAACGCGAAGAACCUUACCAAGGCUUGACAUAUACCGGAUCGUUCCAGAGAUGGUUCUUCCCCUUUGGGGUCGGUAUACAGGUGGUGCAUGGUUGUCGUCAGCUCGUGUCGUGAGAUGUUGGGUUAAGUCCCGCAACGAGCGCAACCCUCGUUCCAUGUUGCCAGCACGUGAUGGUGGGGACUCAUGGGAGACUGCCGGGGUCAACUCGGAGGAAGGUGGGGAUGACGUCAAAUCAUCAUGCCCCUUAUGUCUUGGGCUUCACGCAUGCUACAAUGGCCGGUACAAAGGGUUGCGAUACUGUGAGGUGGAGCUAAUCCCAAAAAGCCGGUCUCAGUUCGGAUUGAGGUCUGCAACUCGACCUCAUGAAGUCGGAGUCGCUAGUAAUCGCAGAUCAGCAACGCUGCGGUGAAUACGUUCCCGGGCCUUGUACACACCGCCCGUCAAGUCACGAAAGUCGGUAACACCCGAAGCCGGUGGCCCAACCCUUGUGGAGGGAGCCGUCGAAGGUGGGACUGGCGAUUGGGACUAAGUCGUAAC
Molecule: ribosomal RNA, 772 nt
Filed under: Kocuria palustris
Lineage: Bacteria; Bacillati; Actinomycetota; Actinomycetes; Micrococcales; Micrococcaceae
Description: bacterial SSU rRNA
Rfam family: Bacterial small subunit ribosomal RNA
Source: RNAcentral